GAUGAACGCUGGCGGCGUGCCUAAUACAUGCAAGUCGAGCGAACAGAUGAGAAGCUUGCUUCUCUGAUGUUAGCGGCGGACGGGUGAGUAACACGUAGGUAACCUACCUAUAAGACUGGGAUAACUCCGGGAAACCGGGGCUAAUACCGGAUAAUAUUUUGAACCGCAUGGUUCAAUAGUGAAAGACGGUUUCGGCUGUCACUUAUAGAUGGACCCGCGCCGUAUUAGCUAGUUGGUAAGGUAACGGCUUACCAAGGCGACGAUACGUAGCCGACCUGAGAGGGUGAUCGGCCACACUGGAACUGAGACACGGUCCAGACUCCUACGGGAGGCAGCAGUAGGGAAUCUUCCGCAAUGGGCGAAAGCCUGACGGAGCAACGCCGCGUGAGUGAUGAAGGUCUUCGGAUCGUAAAACUCUGUUGUUAGGGAAGAACAAAUUUGUUAGUAACUGAACAAGUCUUGACGGUACCUAACCAGAAAGCCACGGCUAACCACGUGCCAGCAGCCGCAGUAA
This 514-nucleotide ribosomal RNA is filed under the name uncultured bacterium. RNAcentral's name for it is "partial 16S ribosomal RNA". It matches the Rfam family "Bacterial small subunit ribosomal RNA", at positions 28 to 523 of the family's 1533-position model. The record is from RNAcentral.